Molecule: ribosomal RNA, 3062 nt
Filed under: Bifidobacterium myosotis
Lineage: Bacteria; Bacillati; Actinomycetota; Actinomycetes; Bifidobacteriales; Bifidobacteriaceae
Description: bacterial LSU rRNA
Rfam family: Bacterial large subunit ribosomal RNA
Source: RNAcentral
UGUUGUCUUGAAGGGCGUAUGGUGGAUGCCUUGGCAGGCAGGACCGAUGAAGGACGCGACGGGCCGCGAUAGGCCUCGGGGAGCCGCCGAGUGGGCUUUGAUCCGAGGGUUUCCGAAUGGGGCAACCCACCGGCAGUAAUGGGCCGGUACCGCGCUUCGGCGCGGGGGGUACGCAGGGAAGUGAAACAUCUCAGUACCUGCAGGAGAGGAUACUCCGUGAGUAGUGGCGAGCGAAAGCGGAUCAGGCUAAACCUCAUGCGUGUGAUACCCGUCGGGGGUUGCGUGUGGGGUGUUGUUGGGAUCGUGUGCGCCGGCUCCGACGGGCCGGCCGGUGGUGAUAAAGGCGUGUGCGAGGGGAACCGGGUUGAAUACCGGGCCGUAGAGGGUGAGGGCCCCGUACCCGUAGGCGCAUGUCCCGCCGAUCAUGUCUCCCGAGUAGCGCGGGUCCCGUGGAACCCCGUGUGAAUCCGCCCCGACCGUGGGGCAGGCCUAAGUAUUCCUGUCUGACCGAUAGUGAACUAGUACCGUGAGGGAAAGGUGAAAAGCACCCCGGGAGGGGAGUGAAACAGUCCCUGAAACCGUGCGCCUACGAACCGUCGGAGCCUCCUUGGUGGGGUGACGGCGUGCCUAUCGAAAAAUGAGUCUGCGAGUCAGUGGUGCGUGGCGAGUAUAAGCCGUGUGGCGUAUGCGUAGCGAAGGCGAGUCUUAAAAGGCGUUUGAGCCGCGUGUCCUGGACCCGAAGCGGGAUGAUCUAGCCCUGAGCAGGUUGAAGCGCGGGUAAGACCGUGUGGAGGACCGGACCCACCUGGGUUGAAAACCGGGGGGAUGACUUGGGGCUGGGGGUGAAAGGCCAAUCAAAUUCCGUGAUAGCUGGUUCUCUCCGAAAUGCAUUUAGGUGCAGCGUCGGGUGAUUGCAUCCGGGGGGUAGAGCUACUGGAUGCUUGCGGGCCCUUGUGGGGUACCAACAGCAACCAAACUCCGAAUACCCGUGAUGUGUAUCCCGGCAGUGACCCGGCGGGGGAUAAGCUUCGUCGUGGAGAGGGAGACAGCCCAGACCGUCGUCUAAGGUCCCGAAGCGCGUGCUAAGUGGGAAAGGAUGUGGAGUCGCAUAGACAGCCAGGAGGUUGGCUCAGAAGCAGCCAUCCUUGAAAGAGUGCGUAACAGCUCACUGGUCUAGUGGUUCCGCGCCGACAAUGUAGCGGGGCUCAAGCACGCCACCGAAGACGCGGCAGUACUUUGGUACUGGGUAGGAGAGCGUCCCACGGGGGGCGAAGCGGCGGCGCAAGCCGGCCGUGGAUUCCGUGGGAGUGAGAAUGCAGACAUGAGUAGCGAGAGACGGGUGAGGAUCCCGUCCGCUGGAUGACCAAGGGUUCCAGGGCCACGUUCAUCGUCCCUGGGUGAGUCGGGUCCUAAGGCGAGGCCGACAGGCGUAGUCGAAUGGAUGAACGGGUCGAUAUUCCCGUACCGGCUGGCGACCGAUCAAACCGGAACCGUGAGCACUAACCUCCAUUAUUCUCGUGAUGUUCCCUUCGGGGUUCGGAUCGGGGUGGUGUUGGGACCGUAGCGGGAGUAGGUCAGCGCAGGAGUGACACGGAAGGGUGGCCGGCUCCGGAGGUGGUUUUCCGGGGCCAAGCACGCGGCCCGUCCCCCAGGCAAAUCCGGGGGGCGUGAGGGUGAGGUGCGAUGGGACGCGCGUAUGCGUGGAUCCGGUGAUCCCGGCCGUCGAGAAAAGCUUCGGCGUGAGGGCGUCAGUCCGCCCGUACCCCAAACCGACACUGGUGGUCAGGUAGAGAAUACCAAGGCGAUCGAGCGAAUCCUGGUCAAGGAACUCGGCAAAUCACUCCCGUUCCUUCGGUUUAAGGGAGACCCCCGAUGGUGAACCAACUCGCUUGGGGAGCUUUUGGGGGUGGCACAGACCAGGGGGUAGCGACUGUUUACCAAAAACACAGGUGCAUGCGAAGACGCAAGUCGCUGUAUAUGCACUGACGCCUGCCCGGUGCCGGAAGGUUAAGAGGAUCCGUCAUGCUUUUGCGGAAGCGGUGAAUUCAAGCCCCGGUAAACGGCGGUGGUAACUAUAACCAUCCUAAGGUAGCGAAAUUCCUUGUCGGGUAAGUUCCGACCUGCACGAAUGGCGUAACGACUUCCCCACUGUCUCGACCAGGAGCUCGGCGAAAUUGCAGUACGAGUAAAGAUGCUCGUUAAGCGCAGAAGGACGAAAAGACCCCGGGACCUUUACUAUACCUUGGUAUUGGCAUUCGGUGUGGAUUGUGUAGCAUAGGCGGGAGACGUUGAUGCGUGGUCGCCAGAUCGCGUGGAGUCGCAAGGUGAAAUACCGCUCUGUUCGCAUUGGAUGUCUAACCACGACCAGUCAUCCUGGUCUGGGACAGUGCCUGGCGGGUAGUUUAACUGGGGCGGUUGCCUCCCAAAGAGUAACGGAGGCGCCCAAAGGUUCCCUCAGCCCGGUUGGCAAUCGGGUGUCGAGUGCAAGUGCACAAGGGAGCUUGACUGCGAGAGCGACGGCUCGAGCAGGGACGAAAGUCGGGACUAGUGAUCCGGUGCCGGUGUACGGACGCGGCAUCGCUCAACGGAUAAAAGGUACCCCGGGGAUAACAGGCUGAUCAUUCCCAAGAGUCCAUAUCGACGGGAUGGUUUGGCACCUCGAUGUCGGCUCGUCGCAUCCUGGGGCUGGAGCAGGUCCCAAGGGUUCGGCUGUUCGCCGAUUAAAGCGGCACGCGAGCUGGGUUCAGAACGUCGUGAGACAGUUUGGUCUCUAUCCUCUGCGCUCGUUGGAAUGCUGAGGAGGCCUGCCCAUAGUACGAGAGGACCUGGGUGGACGAACCUCUGGUAUGCCGGUUGUCACGCCAGUGGCACGGCCGGUUGGCUACGUUCGGGAGGGAUAACCGCUGAAAGCAUCUAAGCGGGAAGCCUGCUCCGAGAUAAGCAUUCCGUGGAUCCCUCGAGAUCCUGUACCCCCCAUGGAGAACACGUGGUGGAUAGGCCGGACGUGGAAGCCCCGCAAGGGGUGGAGCUGACCGGUACUAACGGGGGAACGGCAACACACA